UACGUAGGGAGCAAGCGUUGUCCGGAUUUAUUGGGCGUAAAGAGCGUGUAGGCGGCCAGGUAGGUCUGGUGUGAAAACUCGAGGCUUAACCUCGAGAUGUCAUCGGAAACCAUCUGGCUAGAGUCCGGAAGAGGAGAGUGGAAUUCCUGGUGUAGCGGUGAAAUGCGCAGAUAUCAGGAAGAACACCAAUGGCGAAAGCAGCUCUCUGGGACGGUACUGACGCUGAGACGCGAAAGCGUGGGGAGCGAACAGG
RNAcentral lists this ribosomal RNA (253 nucleotides) under uncultured bacterium. RNAcentral's name for it is "partial 16S ribosomal RNA". It matches the Rfam family "Bacterial small subunit ribosomal RNA", at positions 524 to 776 of the family's 1533-position model. The record is from RNAcentral.